Molecule: ribosomal RNA, 1342 nt
Filed under: Lacticaseibacillus rhamnosus
Lineage: Bacteria; Bacillati; Bacillota; Bacilli; Lactobacillales; Lactobacillaceae
Description: bacterial SSU rRNA
Rfam family: Bacterial small subunit ribosomal RNA
Source: RNAcentral
AAGCUAUCGCUUUUGGAUGGACCCGCGGCGUAUUAGCUAGUUGGUGAGGUAACGGCUCACCAAGGCAAUGAUACGUAGCCGAACUGAGAGGUUGAUCGGCCACAUUGGGACUGAGACACGGCCCAAACUCCUACGGGAGGCAGCAGUAGGGAAUCUUCCACAAUGGACGCAAGUCUGAUGGAGCAACGCCGCGUGAGUGAAGAAGGCUUUCGGGUCGUAAAACUCUGUUGUUGGAGAAGAAUGGUCGGCAGAGUAACUGUUGUCGGCGUGACGGUAUCCAACCAGAAAGCCACGGCUAACUACGUGCCAGCAGCCGCGGUAAUACGUAGGUGGCAAGCGUUAUCCGGAUUUAUUGGGCGUAAAGCGAGCGCAGGCGGUUUUUUAAGUCUGAUGUGAAAGCCCUCGGCUUAACCGAGGAAGUGCAUCGGAAACUGGGAAACUUGAGUGCAGAAGAGGACAGUGGAACUCCAUGUGUAGCGGUGAAAUGCGUAGAUAUAUGGAAGAACACCAGUGGCGAAGGCGGCUGUCUGGUCUGUAACUGACGCUGAGGCUCGAAAGCAUGGGUAGCGAACAGGAUUAGAUACCCUGGUAGUCCAUGCCGUAAACGAUGAAUGCUAGGUGUUGGAGGGUUUCCGCCCUUCAGUGCCGCAGCUAACGCAUUAAGCAUUCCGCCUGGGGAGUACGACCGCAAGGUUGAAACUCAAAGGAAUUGACGGGGGCCCGCACAAGCGGUGGAGCAUGUGGUUUAAUUCGAAGCAACGCGAAGAACCUUACCAGGUCUUGACAUCUUUUGAUCACCUGAGAGAUCAGGUUUCCCCUUCGGGGGCAAAAUGACAGGUGGUGCAUGGUUGUCGUCAGCUCGUGUCGUGAGAUGUUGGGUUAAGUCCCGCAACGAGCGCAACCCUUAUGACUAGUUGCCAGCAUUUAGUUGGGCACUCUAGUAAGACUGCCGGUGACAAACCGGAGGAAGGUGGGGAUGACGUCAAAUCAUCAUGCCCCUUAUGACCUGGGCUACACACGUGCUACAAUGGAUGGUACAACGAGUUGCGAGACCGCGAGGUCAAGCUAAUCUCUUAAAGCCAUUCUCAGUUCGGACUGUAGGCUGCAACUCGCCUACACGAAGUCGGAAUCGCUAGUAAUCGCGGAUCAGCACGCCGCGGUGAAUACGUUCCCGGGCCUUGUACACACCGCCCGUCACACCAUGAGAGUUUGUAACACCCGAAGCCGGUGGCGUAACCCUUUUAGGGAGCGAGCCGUCUAAGGUGGGACAAAUGAUUAGGGUGAAGUCGUAACAAGGUAGCCGUAGGAGAACCUGCGGCUGGAUCACCUCCUUUCUAAGGAA